Molecule: long non-coding RNA, 283 nt
Filed under: Ananas comosus (pineapple)
Lineage: Eukaryota; Viridiplantae; Streptophyta; Magnoliopsida; Poales; Bromeliaceae
Description: long non-coding RNA (ACOM_LNC027427)
Source: RNAcentral
UUUUAUAUAUUUUUAAUUGGGUAAACUUCAAAUACAUUCCUAUAGUUUCGCAUUUUUUUCACUUUAGUACCCUAUGAUUUAGUGUGUAUUAAUUUUAGUACCCUAUGAUUUCAUUUUUUCCUUUUCGUCAACUCCUCUAUUAACAUUUCGUUAAAUUAUAUACAAAAAUUUUAAAUACCUACCUUUUAGUUUAAUUUUGUCACUGAUUUAACAAAAAAGAUUACGCUUCGACAAUUUUGGUCAUCUCAUAUUAAGUAUAGUAGUAUUUGGGAUGUGCGUUGCU